UCUAAUACAUGCAAGUCGAGCGAAUGGAUUAAGAGCUUGCUCUUAUGAAGUUAGCGGCGGACGGGUGAGUAACACGUGGGUAACCUGCCCAUAAGACUGGGAUAACUCCGGGAAACCGGGGCUAAUACCGGAUAACAUUUUGAACCGCAUGGUUCGAAAUUGAAAGGCGGCUUCGGCUGUCACUUAUGGAUGGACCCGCGUCGCAUUAGCUAGUUGGUGAGGUAACGGCUCACCAAGGCAACGAUGCGUAGCCGACCUGAGAGGGUGAUCGGCCACACUGGGACUGAGACACGGCCCAGACUCCUACGGGAGGCAGCAGUAGGGAAUCUUCCGCAAUGGACGAAAGUCUGACGGAGCAACGCCGCGUGAGUGAUGAAGGCUUUCGGGUCGUAAAACUCUGUUGUUAGGGAAGAACAAGUGCUAGUUGAAUAAGCUGGCACCUUGACGGUACCUAACCAGAAAGCCACGGCUAACUACGUGCCAGCAGCCGCGGUAAUACGUAGGUGGCAAGCGUUAUCCGGAAUUAUUGGGCGUAAAGCGCGCGCAGGUGGUUUCUUAAGUCUGAUGUGAAAGCCCACGGCUCAACCGUGGAGGGUCAUUGGAAACUGGGAGACUUGAGUGCAGAAGAGGAAAGUGGAAUUCCAUGUGUAGCGGUGAAAUGCGUAGAGAUAUGGAGGAACACCAGUGGCGAAGGCGACUUUCUGGUCUGUAACUGACACUGAGGCGCGAAAGCGUGGGGAGCAAACAGGAUUAGAU
RNAcentral lists this ribosomal RNA (756 nucleotides) under Bacillus anthracis (anthrax bacterium). RNAcentral describes it as "bacterial SSU rRNA". It matches the Rfam family "Bacterial small subunit ribosomal RNA", at positions 47 to 783 of the family's 1533-position model. The record is from RNAcentral. Lineage: Bacteria; Bacillati; Bacillota; Bacilli; Caryophanales; Bacillaceae.